GACGAACCGUCCUAACGUUGUUCGGAAUCACUGGGCUUAAAGGGCGCGUAGGCGGGCUGCCAAGUCUAGGGUGAAAUCUUUCGGCUUAACCGGAAAAUAGCCUUGGAUACUGGUGGUCUCGAGGGAGGUAGGGGUCGUUGGAACUUCCGGUGGAGCGGUGAAAUGCGUUGAUAUCGGAAGGAACGCCGGUGGCGAAAGCGAACGACUGGACCUCUUCUGACGCUGAGGCGCGAAAGCCAGGGGAGCAAACGGGAUUAGAUACCCCGGUAGUCCUGGCCCUAAACGAUGGGUACUAGAUAGCGGACUAGACAUGGGUUCGCUGUCGAAGCAAAAGUGCUAAGUACCCCGCCUGGGGAGUAUGGUCGCAAGGCUG
RNAcentral lists this ribosomal RNA (373 nucleotides) under uncultured bacterium. RNAcentral's name for it is "bacterial SSU rRNA". It matches the Rfam family "Bacterial small subunit ribosomal RNA", at positions 524 to 896 of the family's 1533-position model. The record is from RNAcentral.